CGCUAUCACUCCUACGGGAGGCAGCAGUGAGGAAUAUGGGAAAUGGGCGAGGCCUGCAUCAGCCAUGACCGAGUGCAGGAAGAAUGCCCUAUGGUAGUAACUGUCUUUUAUACGGGAAAGAAAAGGGGCACGUGUGCCCUGUUGACGGUACCGUAAGAAUAAGGACCGGCUAACUCCGUGCCAGCAGCCGCGGUAAUACGGAGGGUCCGAGCGUUAUCCGGAAUUAUUGGGGUUUAAAGGGUCCGUAGGCGGGCCGGUAAGUCAGGGGUGAAAGUCUGUAGCUCAACUAUAGAACUGCCUUUGAUACUGCCGGUCUUGAGUCACGGUGAAGUUGCCGGAAUAUGUGGUGUAGCGGUGAAAUGCAUAGAUAUCACAUAGAACACCGAUUGCGAAGGCAGGUGACUAACCGUGUACUGACGCUGAUGGACGAAAGCGUGGGGAGCGAACAGGAUUAGAUACCCUGGUAG
RNAcentral lists this ribosomal RNA (467 nucleotides) under uncultured bacterium. Its description in RNAcentral is "bacterial SSU rRNA". It matches the Rfam family "Bacterial small subunit ribosomal RNA", at positions 328 to 793 of the family's 1533-position model. The record is from RNAcentral.